GACGGAGACCCCAAGCGUUGUUCGGAAUCACUGGGCUUAGAGCGGGUGUAGGCGGGACGGUAAGUACUGAGUGAAAUCCCCGGUCUCAACCCGGGAACUGCUUGGUAUACUGCCGUUCUUGAGGCAGGUAGGGGUCACUGGAACCUUAGGUGGAGCGGUGAAAUGCGUAGAUAUCUAAGGGAACGCCUGUGGCGAAAGCGGGUGACUGGGCCUGUUCUGACGCUGAGACCCGAAAGCGUAGGGAGCAAACGGG
This 253-nucleotide ribosomal RNA is filed under the name uncultured bacterium. Its description in RNAcentral is "partial 16S ribosomal RNA". It matches the Rfam family "Bacterial small subunit ribosomal RNA", at positions 524 to 776 of the family's 1533-position model. The record is from RNAcentral. RNAcentral also lists the same sequence under 1 other name.